AAUACGUUCCCGGGUCUUGUACACACCGCCCGUCACACCAUGGGAGCGGGUUUUACCAGAAGUAGGUAGCUUAACCGUAAGGGGGCGCUUACCACGGUAGGAUUCGUGACUGGGGUGAAGUCGUAAACAAGGUACC
Molecule: ribosomal RNA, 136 nt
Filed under: uncultured bacterium
Lineage: Bacteria
Description: partial 16S ribosomal RNA
Rfam family: Bacterial small subunit ribosomal RNA
Source: RNAcentral